This 94-nucleotide small nucleolar RNA is filed under the name Jaculus jaculus (lesser Egyptian jerboa). RNAcentral describes it as "Small nucleolar RNA SNORA31 (ENSJJAG00000005937.1)". It matches the Rfam family "Small nucleolar RNA SNORA31", at positions 37 to 130 of the family's 130-position model. From Rfam's summary of the family: ACA31 (SNORA31) belongs to the H/ACA class of snoRNAs which are thought to guide the sites of modification of uridines to pseudouridines. The record is from RNAcentral. Lineage: Eukaryota; Metazoa; Chordata; Mammalia; Rodentia; Dipodidae.
AAAAAUCUGGUUGGCCCUAGGAUUCAAAAGCAAAGGAUCCCUGUGCUUCCUGCCUGUCUUUGUGGCAUCCCAGUUUGAACUGGGGAGAACAUCA